UUACCCCCUCAAACUCAACCCAAUAAACAAAAAAAAAUCUUCAUAGAUCAAAGUGACGGCAGGUGCUUGGGACCUCAGUCCUCUGGCUAAUGGCAAGCCUUUGGAGAGGAGUUCCAAGGAGUCGCUUGAUGUUCCUUCGGGAUCACGGGAAAGCAGAACAGAUGGUACACUCAGGAGAUGUUGAUUCUUUUCCUUCUCUCUUCUCUUUACAGAGGAAGAAGCUGUUGGAGGAAAAUCCCUAACCUUCUAUCACUAGGAUGGAUAGAUGAGUGUAGGCUCCAGAUGUUCUUUCAUCAGCAACUUUCAUCAGCUCUUCCCUCUCCCUUCACCUUCAGACUAAACUGUUAUCUGUAUAAGCUACAUGACAAGAGAUAGAAUCAGCAUUCAAGUUUGAUACUGUACCACCAACGUGACUGAGAAUUAGGCCACGGACUUCAGUGGGAAUAGGAUCAGGCCCUUAGAUACCAAGAUCAUAGGCACCUUCGAAGUACCUAACACAGAUGGAAAAACUGGAGGGAAGUGAAGUGACCAAGGUCAAACUAUUUCAGUGGCAGAGUCCAGAUUUUCUGCUUCUUAGUCCACUGGAUCAUACUUGUGGAACCACCACUAUUUUGCCUUGUUCAAGGAUAGCAGUAAUAAAUCGUUGAGUAAUUAUUUAAAUCCAAA
This is a non-coding RNA of Chrysemys picta bellii (western painted turtle), 666 nucleotides long. The record is from RefSeq and is a predicted model, not a curated record. NCBI's taxonomy places the organism in Eukaryota, Metazoa, Chordata, Testudines, Emydidae.